AUAUCUAUAAGAUUGUAUUAAAAUUGAAUAAAGCUUUGUUUAUAUAUUGAUAAUGACAGUAUAUAUAUCGUGUCUUGACUAAUUACGUGCCAGCAGUCGCGGUAAUACGUAAGAGACUAGUGUUAUUCAUCUUAAUUAGGUUUAAAGGGUACCUAGACGGUCAAUAUAGCUUCUAUAAUGUUAGUACUUGACUAGAGUUUGAUAUAAGAGGGCAGUACUUGAGGAGGAGAGAUGAAAUUCUAUUAUACCAAAGGGACUCGGUAAAGGCGAAGGCAGCCCUCUAUGUAAAAACUGACGUUGAAGGACGAAGGCACAGAGCACAAACAGGAUUAGAUACCCAAGUAGUCUUUGCAGUAAAUGAUGAAUGCCAUAGGUUAGAUUGAGUUUUAGUAAAUUAGUUUAUCAGUAGUAAACUAACUAUUAAACAAUAUUUAGUCUAUAAAUGAAAGUGUAAGCAUUCCACCUCAAGAGUAAUGUGGCAACGCAGGAACUGAAAUCAC
RNAcentral lists this ribosomal RNA (500 nucleotides) under Pochonia chlamydosporia. RNAcentral's name for it is "SSU rRNA". It matches the Rfam family "Bacterial small subunit ribosomal RNA", at positions 419 to 909 of the family's 1533-position model. The record is from RNAcentral. Lineage: Eukaryota; Fungi; Ascomycota; Sordariomycetes; Hypocreales; Clavicipitaceae.